GACGAACGCUGGCGGCGUGCUUAACACAUGCCAGUCGAACGGUGAAGCGCCUUCCUUUUUGGUGGGUGUGGAUGAGUGGCGAACGGGUGGGUAACACGUGAGUAACCUGCCCCCUUCUGCUGGAUAACCGCAUGAAAGUGUGGCUAAUACGGGAUAUUCUGGGUCUGUCGCAUGAUGGGUCUGGGAAAGAUAUUGUUUCGGUGGGGGAUGGGCUCGCGGCCUAUCAGCUUGUUGGUGGGGUGAUGGCCUACCAAGGCAGUGACGGGUAGCCGGCCUGAGAGGGUGGACGCUCACACAGGGAAUGAGACCCCGGACAGCUGCAUACGGGAGGAAGCAGUGAGGAAUAUUGCACAAGGGGCGCAAGCUUGAUGCAGCGACGCCGCGUGAGGGAGGGAGGAGUUCGGGUUGGGAACCUCUUUCGGCAGGGAAGCAUGCCUGCUUCGAUUGAGGGUGGGUUGACGGAAGCUGGAUAAGAAGCGCGGGCUAAUUACGG
This 493-nucleotide ribosomal RNA is filed under the name uncultured bacterium. Its description in RNAcentral is "partial 16S ribosomal RNA". It matches the Rfam family "Bacterial small subunit ribosomal RNA", at positions 28 to 506 of the family's 1533-position model. The record is from RNAcentral.